CACGUAGGGGGCAAGCGUUGUCCGGAUUUAUUGGGCCUAAAGCAUCCGUAGCCGGUUCUACAAGUCUUCCGUUAAAUCCACCUGCUUAACAGAUGGGCUGCGGAAGAUACUAUAGAGCUAGGAGGCGGGAGAGGCAAGCGGUACUCGAUGGGUAGGGGUAAAAUCCGUUGAUCCAUUGAAGACCACCAGUGGCGAAGGCGGCUUGCCAGAACGCGCUCGACGGUGAGGGAUGAAAGCUGGGGGAGCAAACCGG
This 253-nucleotide ribosomal RNA is filed under the name uncultured bacterium. Its description in RNAcentral is "partial 16S ribosomal RNA". It matches the Rfam family "Bacterial small subunit ribosomal RNA", at positions 524 to 776 of the family's 1533-position model. The record is from RNAcentral.